GACGAACGCUGGCGGCGUGCUUAACACAUGCAAGUCGAACGGAAAGGCCCUGCUUGCAGGGUACUCGCGUGGCGAACGGGUGAGUAAAACGUGGGUGAUCUGCCCUGCACUUCGGGAUAAGCCUGGGAAACUGGGUCUAAUACCGGAUAGGAGCCCUUUUUAGGGUGGUGGUUGGAAGGUUUUUUCGGUGUAGGAUGGGCUCGCGGCCUAUCAGCUUGGUGGUGGGGUAAUGGCCUACCAAGGCGGCGACGGGUAGCCGGCCUGCGAGGGUGGACGGCCACAUUGGGACUGGGAUACGGCCCAGGCUCCUACGGGAGGGAGCAGUGGGGAAUAUUGCAAAAUGGGGGCAAGCCUGAUGCAGCGACGCCGCGGGGGGGAUGACGGCCUUCGGGUUGUAAACUCCUUUCGCUAGGGACGAAGCUGUUUGUGACGGUACCUAGAAAAGAAGCACCGGCUAACUACGUG
This 465-nucleotide ribosomal RNA is filed under the name uncultured bacterium. RNAcentral's name for it is "partial 16S ribosomal RNA". It matches the Rfam family "Bacterial small subunit ribosomal RNA", at positions 28 to 507 of the family's 1533-position model. The record is from RNAcentral.